GAUGUACGCUGGCCGCGUGCCUAAUCUACGCAAGUCGAACGCAACUUCUUUAUCACCUAGUGCUUGCGCUCACCGAUAAAGAGUUGAGUGGCGAACGGGUGCGUAAUACGUGGGCAACCUGCCCAAAAGAGGGGGCUAACACUUGGAAACAGCUGCUAAUACCGCAUAACCAUAGUUACCGCAUGGUAACUAUGUAAAAGGUGGCUAUACUACCGCUUUUGGAUGGGCCCGCGGCGCAUUAGCUAGCUUGUAGGGUACAGGCUUACCAUGGCAAGGAUGCAUAACCGAAUUGAGAGGUUGAUCGGCCACAGUGGGACUGAGACACGGCCCAAACGCCUACGGGAGGCAGCAGUAGGGAAUCUUCCACAAUGAGCGAAAGCCUGAUGGAGCAACGCCGCGUGGGUGAAGAAGGUCUUCGGAUCGUAAAACCCUGUUGUUAGGGAAGAAAGUGCGUGAGAGUAACUGUUCACGUUUCGACGGUAUCUAACCAGAGAGCCACGGCUAACUACGUG
Molecule: ribosomal RNA, 512 nt
Filed under: uncultured bacterium
Lineage: Bacteria
Description: partial 16S ribosomal RNA
Rfam family: Bacterial small subunit ribosomal RNA
Source: RNAcentral